Molecule: ribosomal RNA, 654 nt
Filed under: uncultured Planctomycetota bacterium
Lineage: Bacteria; Pseudomonadati; Planctomycetota
Description: bacterial SSU rRNA
Rfam family: Bacterial small subunit ribosomal RNA
Source: RNAcentral
UAGGCAUGCAAGUCGAACGAGAAGCUCUAGUUUGAAGCUUCGGUUGAUUACUAGAGUGGACAGUGGCGAAAGGGAGAGUAACGAGUAGAUUACGUACCCAGGGGUUCAGGAUAGCGGGGGGAAACCGCCGGUAAUACUGAAUAAUGUUUCCGAACCAAAGAUUUAUCGCCCUUGGAUCGGUCUGCUUACUAUUAGCUUGUUGGUGGGGUAAAAGCCCACCAAGGCUAAGAUGGUUAGCGGGUGUGAGAGCAUGGCCCGUCUCACUGGGACUGAGACACUGCCCAGACACCUACGGGUGGCUGCAGUCGAGAAUCUUCCGCAAUGGACGAAAGUCUGACGGAGCGACGCCGCGUGCGGGACGAAGGCCUUCGGGUUGUAAACCGCUGUCAGAGGGGAGCAAAUUUUGAGCAAUCCUCAGAGGAAGCACAGGCUAAGUUCGUGCCAGCAGCCGCGGUAAUACGAACUGUGCAAACGUUAUUCGGAAUCACUGGGCUUAAAGGGUGCGUAGGCGGCAACGUAGGUCAGGUGUGAAAUCCCACGGCUCAACCGUGGAACUGCGCUUGAAACCACGUAGCUUGAGGGAGAUAGAGGAGAGCGGAACUGAUGGUGGGAGCGGUGAAAUGCGUUGAUAUCAUCAGGAACACCGGUGGCGAA